This 497-nucleotide ribosomal RNA is filed under the name uncultured bacterium. RNAcentral's name for it is "partial 16S ribosomal RNA". It matches the Rfam family "Bacterial small subunit ribosomal RNA", at positions 28 to 507 of the family's 1533-position model. The record is from RNAcentral.
GAUGAACGCUGGCGGCGCGCCUAAUUCAUGCAAGUCGAGCGAACAGACGAGGAGCUUGCUCCUCUGACGUUAGCGGCGGAAGGGUGAGUAACACGUGGAUAACCUACCUAUAAGACUGGGAUAACUUCGGGAAACCGGAGCUAAAACCGGAUAAUAUAUUGAACCGCAUGGUUCAAUAGUGAAAGACGGUUUUGCUGUCACUUAUAGAUGGAUCCGCGCCGCAUUAGCUAGUUGGUAAGGUAACGGCUUACCAUGGCAACGAUGCGUAGCCGACCUGAGAGGGUGAACGGCCACACUGGAACUGAGACACGGUCCAGACUCCUACGGGAGGCAGCAGUAGGGAAUCUUCCGCAGUGGGCGAAAGCCUGACGGAGCAACGCCGCGUGAGUGAUGAAGGUCUUCGGAUCGUAAAACUCUGUUAUUAGGGAAGAACAAAUGUGUAAGUACCUAUGCACGUCUUGACGGUACCUAAUCAGAAAGCCACGGCUAACUAGGUG